RNAcentral lists this ribosomal RNA (448 nucleotides) under uncultured bacterium. RNAcentral's name for it is "bacterial SSU rRNA". It matches the Rfam family "Bacterial small subunit ribosomal RNA", at positions 329 to 792 of the family's 1533-position model. The record is from RNAcentral.
GUCCAGACUCCUACGGGAGGCAGCAGUGGGGAAUAUUGCACAAUGGGGGGAACCCUGAUGCAGCGACGCCGCGUGAGUGAAGAAGUAAUUCGUUAUGUAAAGCUCUAUCAGCAGGGAAGAAUAAAUGACGGUACCUGAGUAAGAAGCCCCGGCUAACUACGUGCCAGCAGCCGCGGUAAUACGUAGGGGGCAAGCGUUAUCCGGAUUUACUGGGUGUAAAGGGAGCGUAGACGGCUGUGCAAGCCAGAUGUGAAAGCCCGGGGCUCAACCCCGGGACUGCAUUUGGAACUGUGUGGCUGGAGUGUCAGAGAGGCAGGCGGAAUUCCUAGUGUAGCGGUGAAAUGCGUAGAUAUUAGGAGGAACACCGGUGGCGAAGGCGGCUUACUGGACUGUAACUGACGUUGAGGCUCGAAAGCGUGGGGAGCAAACAGGAUUAGAUACCCUCGUA